This 358-nucleotide transfer-messenger RNA is filed under the name Mammaliicoccus sciuri. RNAcentral's name for it is "Standard tmRNA". It matches the Rfam family "transfer-messenger RNA". From Rfam's summary of the family: Bacterial tmRNA, also known as 10Sa RNA or SsrA, is named for its dual tRNA and mRNA-like properties. Its role is to liberate the mRNA from a stalled ribosome. To accomplish this part of the tmRNA is used as a reading frame that ends in a translation stop signal. The record is from RNAcentral. Lineage: Bacteria; Bacillati; Bacillota; Bacilli; Caryophanales; Staphylococcaceae.
GGGGACGUUACGGAUUCGACAGGGGUCCCCGAGCUUAUGGAAGCGUGUCGGAGGGUUGUCUUCGUCAUCAACACAACAGUUAUAAUAACUGGCAAACAAGAUAAUUUAGCAGUAGCUGCGUAAUAGCACUCUGCAUCACCUAACCGCAUCGCCUAUGUGCCGUUAACGUGAUUCAACUUAAGUAGGAUACGCUCGUCACUGCCGUUUGAAGUCUGACGAGAAGAGAUUAAUCAAGCUAGCAUUGUCUUUGGGUGUCAGUCCCCUGAGACAACGCGAAACCUUAACGACUAGACUACACACGUAGAAACAUUUGUAUCAGGAUCUCUGGACGCGGGUUCAACUCCCGCCGUCUCCAUAU